This is a long non-coding RNA of Gossypium arboreum, 878 nucleotides long. RefSeq lists it as uncharacterized. The record is from RefSeq and is a predicted model, not a curated record. Lineage: Eukaryota; Viridiplantae; Streptophyta; Magnoliopsida; Malvales; Malvaceae. The transcript has 4 exons.
AGUCAACAGUAACAACUGGCCUCCAUAAAUUUUUGUCGUUUCACAUCACCAACACAGCUGUUUCAUUAUUGCAGAUCUUAUCAAAUCUUUUACUUUUUUGCUACAUUUUCAAAAAGAGUCGUUCUAUGUCUUUCAAUCUGAAAAUCUUAGGCGCUUCUUCUCCAUGUCUUUCAGUCUGAAAAUCUAAGGCGCUUCUUCUCCAUUGCACACCGGACAGAGCUUGGGAUGCCUCCUUCCAGAUGCAACAUCAGAGUGAAGAAUCGACUUGGAUGUCAAGAUUUUACCCCAACAUCUCAUACUACCAGCCCCGAUGCAGAUUUGAAAGAUUGUUGAUCAAAAUCCGCAUCAAAGUAAAUAGCCACAGUCGCCCUCUGUUCAUCAUGUUUAGGUCCCCUGCCUGUUUCCAGGAUUAAUUGUCCAGAGCCCGCAAAAAAAGAGGCGACAUUGCUCGUUUGUCCCUUGACUAAAAACCCAAGGCACUGCUGGAGAAUGUGAUUACUGUCUUCCUCUUUUGAUGACACCUAGGACACCGAUCUUCAACAGCCACUCUUUUUAACUUGAGAUUCAACAGAGUAGGGAUAUAGUUCCAAGAUAUUUCCAUACUGUAAAUUUAACUUUUGAAGGAAUGUUUAGAUUCCAUAGUUUCUUGUAAAAAGCUUCAGUAUCGGCCUGUAUAAAAUUACUAGGAUUUAGAGUAGUUUCCUGUAAUAGUUUAUAAGCACUCAUUACUGAGAAAUUUCAGAAAGGUUCUCCUCUCCAUACCUGGAAAUCAUCGUGGACUGACCUUGCCAAAGGGAUUUGCAUGAUUUUUCUAGCAAUAUUCGUAUGGAAGAUAUUGACAAUUAAUUCAGCCUUCCAAGUUCUAUUUGCUUCAUCAA